GGCAGCGUGGCCUCGGGUGUAACCCGCGGCCGCGGCCACACCUUUUCCACGCUUUUUACCGCCCCCGUUAAACGGUUGGUAAUGACCAGAUCGGGCUCCUGACCUUGAGCAGCUCCAUAACCGGCUUCAUCAAAGGUUCCAACCAGGAUAAUCUCUACACAUUCCCUGCGUCUGUCGCCCCGCAUUACACAAAGCGACGUUCAAAUUCCAGCCGUACCGCUUGGCUUCUUAUGCAACCCUAGACAAGAGCUUUAACUCCUGUGGGCCUGUGUCCUUGUCUGGAACAGAAACACGAAGGGGGCGUACCUCACAAGGAUGUGGGGAGAAUUAAUAAGCAAGGCCGUGGUGCAGAGUGCCUGCACAUACGUGAGCAAGUAGGGGCAGAGCAGCAGAAGAAGUGGUCAAACUCACAGAGGAAGCAGGUGGCAGAGAUCGGCCAGGACUUGCAUAGGCCGAGUCCUCAAAGAAGAGCCUCUAACGGGAAGCAUGAGUCAUCGUUUCAAACCGUUCCCUACUAGACUAAACUCCAUGAGAACCGGGAGUCCUCAUUAAUCCUCACCGUAUCCCCAGUGCCCGGAACAGCACCUGGAACAUAGCGGAGGUUCCCUGCAGGCCGGGGCCACACUGUGCUUUGCCUCCAGCAGGGAAGACUGUGGGCACCACUGUAGAAACCGCGGCCGGAGCCGGGGACAAACAUGGCCCCCUGCCCACGGAGCGAGCAGGAUGCAAACGAGCAGUCCAGGGUUCUCACCUUCUGGCCCUGGAAGAGAAGGGGCUGGAGACUGUCUGCCGUGGCUCCUUCACCUUGAUCUCAGGCGAGAGGCCUGUGCCGCCCGAUAUGCCAGCCCGCCCCGGGGAAGGCAGCCAGAGGCCAGUGACCCCGCGUGUGGCUUGCGGGGACGGGGAUCUGUAUCUGUUCUGGUUAGGAAUGUUUUUGCUUCGAGUGAUAGAAAACCCAACUAAAGCAGCUUCGGCUUUGAAGAUGUUUACUUAUGCAAAUAAUAAGUCAGGGAAGAAAGGUCCGAGUUCCCGCGGACUCACACCCUGCCCUUUCUUGACUCCUUUGUCUUCCCCUCGCCGGUGCUUUACCGUCGGCCUCCCGGCCCCAAAAUGGCUGCUGAACUUCCACUCAUCACCACUGCAUUUAAAGGCAGGAAAUUCUGGUGCGGGUGUGUUGGGGUCAGGGCAUGGAGCAAAUUCUCACAACCUUCUCCCUUUCUGUAAGAAAGAAAAUCUUCCCCAGAAGCAACUUCUGCAGAUUCGCUUUUCUGUCUUAGUCUUAUUGGCCAGAAAGGAGCCACGUGCCCACCUGUACAUCAGGGACCGGUCUGACCUUCCCUGAGAUGAAGCCAUUCUCACCUAAUAGAUACCUGGACAAACAGAGGUUCUGUCCAGAAGGAAUAAAGAGUGUGGCUCUGGGUAGGCAACAGACAGUGCCCGGCACAAUCUCUAUCAUUUACAGGCUGAUGACUAGAAAAGUCGCUUAGCAUCUCUGAGACUCAGCUUCCUCAUCUGUAAAACGGGUCCAUCUUACAGAUGAGGACACCGAGGCUCAGAGAGGCACGGUGAGGGGGUCCCUCAUCAUGUAGCUGGUAAGCAAGGAGACGUGGGAUGGGAAGCCAUCAAGGUUCCGAUUAGACAAGUGACAUAAACUGGCUUUACAAGGGUGCCUCUGGCUGCUUUAUAAGGAAGAACGUUUU
This is a long non-coding RNA of Prionailurus viverrinus (fishing cat), 1700 nucleotides long. RefSeq lists it as uncharacterized. The transcript has 8 exons. The record is from RefSeq and is a predicted model, not a curated record. Lineage: Eukaryota; Metazoa; Chordata; Mammalia; Carnivora; Felidae.